AGGUGACCCACGCUUGGGGCUGCUUCACAGGGGUGUGACCUGGGAGCAACACAGGGUCAGGCGCUUGGAAGGGCUCCGUGCCCAGAAGGGUUCUGUGCUUGGUUUAAUGCUCUGUUGUCACCAUCUUGAAAUUCUUAACUUUUUAGCAAAGGGCCCAGUUUUUCAUUUGCAGUGAGCUAUGCCCUAAGAACUGACCAACGCUGGAGCUUUAGGCUUCCUAGGUGUUGGCGACUUGUGGAGAGAGGCUCCUGUGGGGCUGCUCACCCACACCAUCCGGCUGCCAUUAGCACUGCCAGUUAAAGUUGCUGGGAACCUCUGUGUGCCGGGCACUGUGUUAGAUGCUGGAGAAGCAGAAGGAAGGAGGCUGGGCACCUGCCCCAGGAGCUGCCAAUCAAGACUAGAGACUGGCAGCCAGGAGCGGUUGUUACUGACCCCACGUUUCAGAGGAGGAAACAGAGCACCAGAGAAGGAAGCAGAGCCGCGCUCCAGGUCCCGGGUCACGGAGACACAGGGAGAGGGCGUUUGCGGCCCAGGCUGGGAGCCCCCUGACCCCGCGGAGAGCAAGGAUGCCCCGCAGCAAGGGGAGGCUCGGCGAGCCGCUGGGCGUGUCUGCCGCGUGGUCCCCACGGGGGGCCUGGGGGGGCGCCCUGCGCUCUGGGCCCUAGAGGAGUCGAGAGCCCCGGGGUGUCGCAGGGGGCCCGGGCUCGGCAGGAAAAAGAGCCUCCAGCGCCGGGGCUCAGCGUCUGCGCGCGCUGGGGGUUCGCGACGCCCGCGACGGUGUCACGCCGGGCGCGCUUUCGCCCCUCGGGGCUGUGCCGAGCGGAUGCGCUGCCUGCGUGUGAACAGGGCUUGUUUUCCCUUCACGCCCUCGGGCUCCGUUUUUAUGAAGAACUUCCUUCUGUUGGCGCUUUGGGAAUAUUCAUUCCUGGCUUGCACAGCGCGCGGGUGACAGUUGCGCUGGGAAAUGUACCCGCGGCUUAAUUAGGGCAUCACCAGACCGCUCUAAGAACCCGCCCCCGCCCUUCCCUGCGCCCCGACCCCGGGGACCCCAGAGCCUGCCCCGCGCUGUGGGAGGCAGCAUAGCGCUGCUCCUGCAGCUGUGAGCACCGCUAUUGCUCCUGGUGUGGGCCCGGUGACCCCGAUGUCCCCAGCCUGCCCUCUGCCCGCUCAUCUCUCAUAGGAACCUGUCUCGGCCAAGGCAGGAGGCUUACUAUCCUCCACACAGGCCAUCCUCUUGCACUUUUGUUCUUACCCUUGCUCCCAUCUGGAAUGCCCUCUGCUCUCCUCCUGGAAUAGAUCUAUCCAGUCUCCAGACCCCUCCAAGUUCCUCCUGCUCGCCUGCCGCAGCCUGCACUCACCCACCCAGCUGAAGAGUCCUUUCCCACCAGUGGGCGUCCUAAGGCCUCCUGCUGCUCUGCCCCCAGACUGCCCUGGGCAGAUGGACCACGAUGGGCCACCUGCUCUGGGUUGCUGCCACUUCACCACAGCAUCCUCAGGGGGAGGGGCUAACAUGUAGGUUUCACCCUGUUUCUGAGGAAGCUGAAGGUAAUGUUAAUAGGAAGGCUGGCAAAACCGAGUACAGACAACCCCCAACAGCCUGUGUAUGUGGCUUGGGGCAGGGUGAGGGGAGACCUUGCACCCGAAAAGCCUGGAAGAGUACUGUAGAAGGAGGCCGAUGGGAUUGACAGUAAAUGUCAAGCCAAAAAAUAAAUAUUGAAAAUUCGACUGCAUAUUAUAUUAAAAUCUCACUAUGAAAAAAACUGGAAAAAUAUUUGCAACACAUAUGGCAAAGGGUGAGUUUCCUUAAAUGCUAAAUCACUCCUACAGUCAGAGGAAAAUCAGCAACCCCAGGGAAAACGAGCAAAUAGCAACAGGCCGUUCACAGAGAGGAACCACAAAUGGCUUCUAAAGAAAUGAGGGGAUGGGCAGCCUUACUCAUCAUGACAGAAAUGCGGAGGUGACAGAUGACAUCUGAGUUUAAAUUGGAUGGAGAAAUAUCUUCAAGAUGUGUGGCCCAGUGGGACACAAAGGCCACAGGGAGGUGCUGUGAGCAGAGCACCAGGGCCCCGACGGGAUUUCACUGGAUGGCUGCUCAUGUCUGGUGGGUUCGACAGGCUGUGCAGGGGUGAAGCCUGCGGUGGGUCCGCAGCCGGACUCGGGGCAAAUCUCUGCUCUGUCGCUUCCCAGCUGCAUGACCGCAGCCAGCUUCCUCAUAUUCUCUGAGCCUCCGUUUCUCAUCUGUAAACUGGGUCAUGAUGUGCUUCCAGGGAGGGCUAAGAUGUGGUCAGGGGAGGGGAAGGAUCGGGGUAACACUGAGGCUGGGAGGGAAACCGAGGGGCAGGAAGGGAAGGUCACUGUGGGGAAGGGGAGGGGUGUGGGAGGGCAGGAGAUGCUGCCUGGGGUGGAGUAUGAAGCAGGUGCGGGGGGGUGGGCAGACCUGGGACUGCUGAGAGAAUGGGUGGAGAUGGAGGUGGCCUUGGAGACCACACUUUGAGGUUAUUUGGUGGUGAAGGAAAGGGGAGAGCUUGAAGGAGGGAUGGGAUACAGAUGGGAAGGUGGUUAGGAUGGGGCAGAUGAGAAUAUCUGUAGGUUGUGAAAAUGGCCUUAGGCUCCCAGGACCGUUGCUCUUCCAGCAGCAUCUCAAAGGUGGGCGCACAGCUAAUUCUGCAUGACCCUAUUUGGUGUGGCCCAAUCUAGCAGAAGUCUGGGUUAUGCUUGUAGGGCUGGGACACAUGCAAAGACCAGCAGAGAGAUGAGCCAAAACCCAGCUUCCCAGGAAUUAGAUGGAGAUGAUGGCAUUUAACCAUCAUCUACAAGGACAGCAAAGCCAGGGGAAGAGUUGGAAGCGCAUGUGAGGAAGUGAAAACUCGAACCUAAGAGAGGCCCACCUCCACGGCCAAGCAGCGAGGCUAACAGGACAACCUGUCCCAGGUCAGAGUUGGGGGUGAACCUAAAAUGUGAGCUUGUGGAACGGUGCCUGGCACAGAUAGGCACUCCACAAACGUUUCUCGAAUGUACAACCUGGAAGGAGGCUUGCGAGACUUGUUAAAACAAGUAGUUCAAGCUCCUGCCGGUGAGUACAGCGAGGCUGCGAGGACGCGGCAGCUGCGUGGCCAGGUGUGCUGAGAAUGUGGCUACAGUUCUCAGCGCCAACCGGGUGGGGGCCCGGGCUCCUGCCCUUGCAGCUCCAGAGGGUGCAUAAGCUACCCUCUCAAAGGGAGGAAGAUGCCUUGCUGGGGCUCAGCAGCUGAACCUGGGCUCCCUGGAUUCUGCAGAAUUGCUUUUGUUGGUGCCUUGGGCUACCUGACUUGCAUGGAACAGGAGUCCCUACCAACCUUGAGCAGAGAAAGGGUAAAGUUAUUAGGGCUCCCAGACUCAGAUUCCAGGGUGUGUGGGGGUGUGGGGGGUGGGGUGCUAAGGGAGAAAUGAAAGCAGCUUUGAGGACCGCAGAAACAGGCAUAUGCAGACUUCACGCUGAAGUCCCCCCAAUAUCCACCCUCAAUUCCCCAGCUCUCAGGGCCUCCCUGUGCAGACUCAGGCCUGCUCUCCAGAAGGAUCUGAUUGGCUGAUGGCCAGCCAAUGGGCGGCUCCCUCUAAAUCCACUCCUGGUCCAGUCAGCUCCAGGCUGGGAUUGUGGAGGGCGUGUCACUUCGGAAGAAGAAACGGGAUAGAACAAGCAAGUGAGCCGAUAUUUGGAUCGCUUGUGGGAUAGAAGAAUGCCUGGAAGUGGGAUCAGCCCACCUGGGCUCCAUCCUAUCCCUAACGAGCUCUAUGAACGCAGAGCAGUCUCUCUCUGUGCCUCAGUUUCCUAAACUGAAAAAGGGUAGUAACAAUGUGUUUGUCACAGGGUUGUUGUGAGGAGAAAAUGAGAUAAAUAACAGGAGAGUGUUUUGUAAACUGUAAAGCUCGAGGCGAUGUUUUAUUUUGCACCCAAGGGAGUGAAUGUUCUUGAGUUUUACUUUACACUGAAUCAUGGUCCCGCCCCCAGCUGAUGCUGGACACAGGUCAGCUCUUACACCUACAUCCCUAGCCUGUGAGAGAAAUGCAGACAGGUCUUCCUGCAGAAUGCACCCGGCUGGACGAUCUUAGUUCCAGUUGCAGCUCUGCCUCCAGGGGAAGCUGGGUAGGCCCUCUGGGUCUCAGUUUUUUCUCCAUCUGUAAAAUGGAUUGACAUGAGGGGAGGAUUAAAUACCCUCUCCUCCUUCUCCUUGUUCCUUUCUCUGCUCCUGGUUUCCUCGUCCCUCCUCUCCUCUCUGGACCUUCCGUGGGUGGUCGCAGCUGAGAUGGAAGGAGCCCUUCAGGACAUUUCUGUGCCCUUGUCAAAGCCAUCUAAACCCCGCCCUCUGCGCACACAGCCCAACACCAGACAAGAGCGUGCCUUACGCUCCUCUCGAAUUGUUUCAAGUGUGCAGUAGCAUUUGCACAAUUGGAUUCUAAACCUUAGACGUCGUCUUUAACUUCUUUUGUGAAAAUCACAACUGUUCUGUCUGCGUAACCAGAACAGGCACCUGGCAAAAGUUUGCUGGAGGAAACGGAACUGAACGACCCUUGGCAGAGUGGAGCUUCCUGCCCGCCUCCCUUCCCUUCCAGCUCUCAGCCUCUCGACCUUGACACGUUCCUUGCCAUCCCCACUCCCGUUUCCCGUACUUUGCAUGCCUGGGACGUGCUCGCUUCUUCCUGGACCCCUUCCCGCCGGUGCCGGGAUCUUGGGACCCAGGCAAGGAGGGGCUGCGGCUCCUGAGCUCUCACCCAACCCUGCAGGCCGGGUGUCAUCUCAUGCAACAGCUGACGGUGACGCCUCCACCACUCUGGUGUCACUUUUAACACUGCACGUUCACACCACCGGCUGACUGUCUGCGCAAGGCGGCCCCAGCAGAGCCGCGUGCAGCCGCACCCCACAUGUGCAGUUGUGAAGCCGGCAGUUGUUCAGCAGGUUCUCAUGGCCUCACUUCCAGACGUGUUACUUCUGGAGGGAACAACACCACGGAACUGCCAAGCUCUCCCAAGAAGGAACGACAGGACCUGCCUGUCCCGUGUCGGCCUGGAGGGGGAGGGGAGGCGUUUCGGAGCGAUGGCAUGCAACGACCUGGGCCCUGGACCUCCGCUACCUGCACACAGUUCCCUACGUUAGAAGAACAAGAGGAGGAAGAGAAAAAGGAAGAGGGAAAUCAUGUCACCGUGCCACUAAACCCUUCUAUUAAAUCUGCCUGUUCACCACGUUUUCAGGCUAUUUCAUGAUGUAAUAGUAAGAGACAAAAGCAACAGCCGCACCCCUAUACACGAUGUGAUCUCAGUUGUGCAGCGUGUGCCGGGCAUGAUCACUCUUCACCUACAUCAGACUCCCGCCACUUUCAGGCGGCUGGAGGAUUCACUUCCUCCUCUCCCGAGAACAGGCUUGGCUACGUGACUUGCUUUGGCUAAUGAAAUGUGACGGACGUAAUGCGUCACUUCCGGUGCCGUAUUUAAUUGCUGGCGCUCCCCUCCCCAGCCCACUCUCCUGCCUCAGCAGCCUUCGGAGGUGGCUGAUCUGCAGCGCCCGGAAGAUGGCAAGGGCCACCGCAGUGGGGAGGGCACCCCUGAGAGUCCCCCAGACUCCAGUGACCUGGUGAUGGACCUCCUGAUUUUUAGCUUGGCCUAUGUUCACCCAAAGUAAAGACCACACUGCCCAGCGUCCUUCGCAGCUGGCUGUGGCCAGGAGACCAAGUUCUGGCGAUGAGAUACGAUGUGCACAACCGCUGACUGUGCUCUCCCUCCUUCCCCUCACGCUUGGCGGAACACAGGUGCGAGGCGGGGGCCACUUUGGACUGGGCCCCCGGGGGCUUAACUCCAGAAAGGCCGAGCAACAAGGCGGGGGUGCUGAGCGACAUACCAGCUGGGACGUCGACAAGACAGAACGUACUAGUCAGGGCCCUACAGAGAACAGAACCCAUAGGAUAUAUAGACAGACACAGAAGAGGAGACUUCCAGGAAUUCGCUCACGAGGCAGUAGAGGCUGAGGAGUACCACGAGCCGGAGGCCCCCACAAGCUGGCGGGGUAGCUCAGCCUCAACCCAAAGGCGUGAGAAUCAGGGGACCCAGAGCUGUAGUCCCGGUGCUAGAACACGGAAUGCUGACGGCCAAGAGCGGGAGGAGAUGGAUGUCCCAGCUCAAGCAAGGAGCAAAUUCGCCCUUCCUCGGCCCUUUUGUUCUUUCCCGGCCCCCAGUGCACUGGAUGAUACCCACCUGCGGUGGUGAAGACUAUCUUCUUUGCUCAGGCUACCGACUCAAAUGCUCAUGUCUUCCAGAAGCACCCUCACCGACAAACCCAGAACUAAGUUGUACCAGCUCUCUAGGCUCCCUUAAC
This 6343-nucleotide long non-coding RNA is filed under the name Equus caballus (horse). RNAcentral describes it as "lncRNA (ENSECAG00000044622.1)". The record is from RNAcentral. Lineage: Eukaryota; Metazoa; Chordata; Mammalia; Perissodactyla; Equidae.